This 1430-nucleotide ribosomal RNA is filed under the name Salmonella enterica subsp. enterica serovar Kimuenza. RNAcentral's name for it is "partial 23S ribosomal RNA". It matches the Rfam family "Bacterial large subunit ribosomal RNA", at positions 346 to 1773 of the family's 2925-position model. Lineage: Bacteria; Pseudomonadati; Pseudomonadota; Gammaproteobacteria; Enterobacterales; Enterobacteriaceae. The record is from RNAcentral.
AAAGGCGCGCGAUACAGGGUGACAGCCCCGUACACAAAAGCGCAUGUGCUGUGAGCUCGAUGAGUAGGGCGGGACACGUGGUAUCCUGUCUGAAUAUGGGGGGACCAUCCUCCAAGGCUAAAUACUCCUGACUGACCGAUAGUGAACCAGUACCGUGAGGGAAAGGCGAAAAGAACCCCGGCGAGGGGAGUGAAAAAGAACCUGAAACCGUGUACGUACAAGCAGUGGGAGCACAGGUUUACCUGUGUGACUGCGUACCUUUUGUAUAAUGGGUCAGCGACUUAUAUUCUGUAGCAAGGUUAACCGAAUAGGGGAGCCGGAGGGAAACCGAGUCUUAAUUGGGCGUUAAGUUGCAGGGUAUAGACCCGAAACCCGGUGAUCUAGCCAUGGGCAGGUUGAAGGUUGGGUAACACUAACUGGAGGACCGAACCGACUAAUGUUGAAAAAUUAGCGGAUGACCUGUGGCUGGGGGUGAAAGGCCAAUCAAACCGGGAGAUAGCUGGUUCUCCCCGAAAGCUAUUUAGGUAGCGCCUCGUGAAUUCAUCUCCGGGGGUAGAGCACUGUUUCGGCUAGGGGGCCAUCCCGGCUUACCAACCCGAUGCAAACUGCGAAUACCGGAGAAUGUUAUCACGGGAGACACACGGCGGGUGCUAACGUCCGUCGUGAAGAGGGAAACAACCCAGACCGCCAGCUAAGGUCCCAAAGUCAUGGUUAAGUGGGAAACGAUGUGGGAAGGCCCAGACAGCCAGGAUGUUGGCUUAGAAGCAGCCAUCAUUUAAAGAAAGCGUAAUAGCUCACUGGUCGAGUCGGCCUGCGCGGAAGAUGUAACGGGGCUAAACCAUGCACCGAAGCUGCGGCAGCGACACUAUGUGUUGUUGGGUAGGGGAGCGUUCUGUAAGCCUGUGAAGGUGGCCUGUGAGGGUUGCUGGAGGUAUCAGAAGUGCGAAUGCUGACAUAAGUAACGAUAAAGCGGGUGAAAAGCCCGCUCGCCGGAAGACCAAGGGUUCCUGUCCAACGUUAAUCGGGGCAGGGUGAGUCGACCCCUAAGGCGAGGCCGAAAGGCGUAGUCGAUGGGAAACGGGUUAAUAUUCCCGUACUUGGUGUUACUGCGAAGGGGGGACGGAGAAGGCUAUGUUGGCCGGGCGACGGUUGUCCCGGUUUAAGCGUGUAGGUGUGUGUUCCAGGUAAAUCCGGUUCACUUUAACACUGAGGCGUGAUGACGAGGCACUACGGUGCUGAAGCAACAAAUGCCCUGCUUCCAGGAAAAGCCUCUAAGCAUCAGGUAACAUCAAAUCGUACCCCAAACCGACACAGGUGGUCAGGUAGAGAAUACCAAGGCGCUUGAGAGAACUCGGGUGAAGGAACUAGGCAAAAUGGUGCCGUAACUUCGGGAGAAGGCACGCUGACACGUAGGUGAAGUGAUUUACUCA